This 497-nucleotide ribosomal RNA is filed under the name uncultured bacterium. RNAcentral's name for it is "partial 16S ribosomal RNA". It matches the Rfam family "Bacterial small subunit ribosomal RNA", at positions 28 to 507 of the family's 1533-position model. The record is from RNAcentral.
GAUGAACGCUGGCGGCGUGCCUAAUACAUGCAAGUCGAGCGAACGGACGAGAAGCUUGCUUCUCUGAUGUUAGCGGCGGACGGGUGAGUAACACGUGGAUAACCUACCUAUAAGACUGGGAUAACUUCGGGAAACCGGAGCUAAUACCGGAUAAUAUUUUGAACCGCAUGGUUCAAAAGUGAAAGACGGUCUUGCUGUCACUUAUAGAUGGAUCCGCGCUGCAUUAGCUAGUUGGUAAGGUAACGGCUUACCAAGGCAACGAUGCAUAGCCGACCUGAGAGGGUGAUCGGCCACACUGGAACUGAGACACGGUCUAGACUCCUACGGGAGGCAGCAGUAGGGAAUCUUCCGCAAUGGGCGAAAGCCUGACGGAGCAACGCCGCGUGAGUGAUGAAGGUCUUCGGAUCGUAAAACUCUGUUAUUAGGGAAGAACAUAUGUGUAAGUAACUGUGCACAUCUUGACGGUACCUAAUCAGAAAGCCACGGCUAACUACGUG